CCUUCACUUUAGAACUAAGCUACACUCUCUAAACCAGUGAUUCCCAACCGCGGUGCCGCGGCACACGUGUGUGCCGUUCGCCACUGGCCGUGGUGCCGCGGGAUUUUGCUGUGAUUUUUAUUUUUUAUUUUUUUUAAAUAUCCCGCCCCGGCCUGCGCGCUUAUGACUGGCGGCGCAGGGGGGAAGGGAAGCCUGUGUGCGCACUGCGCACACAGCGUCCCCCUCCCCACUGCGUCCACUGCGUCCCCUGUGUCCCCCUCCCCACUGCAUCCCCUGCGUCCCCCUCCGCACUGCGUCCCCUGCGUUCCCCUCCCCACUGCGUUCCCUGCGUCCCCCUCCCCACUGCGUCCCCUGCGUCCCCCUCCCCACUGCGUCCCCUGCGUCCCCCUCCCCCUUCUACCUUGCAGUGCAGUGGGACGAAAAUGGGUCCCUGGGGCGGAACGAUCUUCACCUGCGCCGGACUCCCGUGCCUGCCAUGGACCUGCAAAGCUGCGCGGACCGGCUUGCUUAAGGUUUAACGGUGAAAAAUUGUGUGUGGAAGAAAUCGUGAUGAUGGCCCGGACAAGAUGGAGAAGAGAAGACAACAUUGCAAAUUAGAGAAGACUUCAUUGGUUUAACGGUGAAAAAUUGUGUGUGGAAGAAAUCGUGAUGAUGGCCCGGACAAGAUGGAGAAGAGAAGACAACAUUGCAAAUUAGAGAAGACGUCAUUGGUUUAACGGUGAAGAAUUGUGUGUGGAAGAAAUCGUGAGGAUGGCCCGGACAAGAUGGAGAAGAGAAGACAACAUUGCAAAUUAGAGAAGACGUCAUUGGU
Molecule: long non-coding RNA, 811 nt
Organism: Hyla sarda
Lineage: Eukaryota; Metazoa; Chordata; Amphibia; Anura; Hylidae
Exons: 4
Source: RefSeq, a predicted model, not a curated record